GCCAGUGGUGCUAACGGUUAAGCGCUUGGCUGCUAACCAAAAGGUUGGAGGUUAGAGUCCACCCUGAGGUG
RNAcentral lists this transfer RNA (71 nucleotides) under Loxodonta africana (African savanna elephant). It matches the Rfam family "tRNA". From Rfam's summary of the family: Transfer RNA (tRNA) molecules are approximately 80 nucleotides in length. Their secondary structure includes four short double-helical elements and three loops (D, anti-codon, and T loops). Further hydrogen bonds mediate the characteristic L-shaped molecular structure. tRNAs have two regions of fundamental functional importance: the anti-codon, which is responsible for specific mRNA codon recognition, and the 3' end, to which the tRNAs corresponding amino acid is attached (by aminoacyl-tRNA synthetases). tRNAs cope with the degeneracy of the genetic code in two manners: having more than one tRNA (with a specific anti-codon) for a particular amino acid; and 'wobble' base-pairing, i.e. permitting non-standard base-pairing at the 3rd anti-codon position. Lineage: Eukaryota; Metazoa; Chordata; Mammalia; Proboscidea; Elephantidae. The record is from Rfam by way of RNAcentral.